RNA transcript from Camellia sinensis, 1052 nucleotides. RefSeq lists it as uncharacterized. Lineage: Eukaryota; Viridiplantae; Streptophyta; Magnoliopsida; Ericales; Theaceae. The record is from RefSeq and is a predicted model, not a curated record.
CCGCUCGGUUUUCCCUCCUCAACCAAAUAUCCCCAAUCUCAAAAACCAAAAACCAAAAAUCCCUAAUCUCUUCUGAUGGCGCGCUCUCUCUCACUCUCUCGUUUUUCAUCUGGAUCGAUCGGAUCAACCUCGUAAGAGAUCGACUCUCUCUCAUCACAAGAUCGAUCGAUCGACCGACUUCACUCUCUCAUAUCGCCAAUCGAGCUUCUCGGCGAAGAGACCGAUUGACCUUCGAAAACACCAAUUUGCUCUGCAACUCAUAGGCUACUGUGUAAAUUCAUCAAAUGAAUCAAUGGCUACUGUGUAAAUUCUUGAUCUAGAAGAAAGGGAGGUUCUGAAGUGUUGUUAGUAUAAACAUGAAUAUUGAGAUUGUUUUUCCACUAUCCAAUCAAUCCCUACCGACAUGCCUCACCUCUCUCGAGUGCCCGGCAUUCUUUCCACUGCAGGUGAACAGAAUGAUGCUACUUCCUCUCCUGCUCAAGGAGAAAGGAAAGGGGAUAAUGUUAGUAGGUCAAGUAGUUCAAGCAGUUCUAGCAGCGACUCUAGUUCUUCUUCAAGUGAUUCUGAUAGCGAUAGUACCUCUACUUCUGGAUCAAAUGCAGGGCAUUCACCUAGAACUUGAGUGGAUUCAAUUAAGUAUUCUUAUGAGCUUCUGCUGCAAUAUUUACACAAGACACAAUCCAUUACAAUGCUUGGGGUUAUUAAUGAGCAUAUUAACUUUAAAGCUCAAUUUCUGAUGAUGAAGGUGUUACACUUGUUGGGAGUGGCCAGGAUGCAGCUAAUCUGAUAAAUCAGAAAGAAAUAGACUGGGGGAUAUUUUCCCAGUAGCAGUUUGCUUCUUGUGGAAUGCAGGCGUGUGAAGAUUGCGAUUAACUUUUGUUUUUGUUACCCACGGAAGAAUCAUGACGAAAACUUUUGUUUUUGAUUUAUGUUAUUUUGAAUUGUGAACAACAUUAUGUAUUUAAACAUUGUAUAUGUAUUAUGCGACACUAUGUAGUGGGAUAGUUUUGUUGAUGUAUUGUUAUGAAUGGAAGAAUAUUUUUAUUAUGGAU